This is a long non-coding RNA of Pieris napi, 2314 nucleotides long. RefSeq lists it as uncharacterized. NCBI's taxonomy places the organism in Eukaryota, Metazoa, Arthropoda, Insecta, Lepidoptera, Pieridae. The transcript is spliced from 7 exons. The record is from RefSeq and is a predicted model, not a curated record.
AUUAAAAUCUAUAAGGAGUAUUCCAUAUCUGGCAUUGUAUGCAUUAUGGUUUAUUUUUGCAUUUCUUCCGAUCUGGCAUUAUGGGCGGUAAAGCAAAACUCGAGUCUUGUUCAUUCCUAUGGAUGGGAAAUGCUCGCACUGCAAUGCAAUAAAAUUCCAUGCGGUAAGGGGUUAAAGUAUGUAUUUUUAUUUCAUUGGUACUUGAUUAUAAAAAGUUAAAUCACAAUAAUCAAUUAUUGUAAUGGAUUCACUAGUCGGUUACGGUAGCGAUGAUGACAUUGAAACUGAACGCUAUGGACACCAAGCAUCGGUAAGUGUAUGCACUUGAUGCAUAAUUUUUCUAGGUAUUAUUGAGCAAUAUGUUUGAACAUUAAAUUUUUAUGUGUUUAGUUUUUGUUUUUCACUCUCAUUAAAUAAUAUAAAUGUAUUAUGUUUUGAUAUGGAAGUCUUUACUCUUUUAACUAUAAUCAGUCCAAUGCAGCAAUGGUUUAUUAUACGUACAUUACUACCUUGAUUUACUAUUUCCAAGAAAUUAUCAUAUUUGAAGUAAUUUCAAAUCUCUAUUAGUAUUUCUCAUUAUGUGAUUUUCAAGAAUUUGAUAUUAAUUAAUUUCUCUGCUUGACAAUAGACUAAUAUUAUAGUAGAAGAGAAGAUUACACUAACUAUGAUCAAGUCAACAUGGAUCUAAGUGAGGUUGGUAUAUUUUUAUUAACUUAGUUUACCAUUAUAAUAUAUAUAACUAGUUCCUAUGUAGUAAGCACAUUGUGGGUCAAUAUUGCUACUUCAUUAAUAAUAUCGCCUCAUUGAGCACUUUUAAAACACUAGGAAAUAUAAAACUUUAUAAAUUUAUAUAUUAUUGAUUGUCUUUGAAAGUGUUCUAGAAAAAUAAUGGUUCACCAAAUUAUUGUUACAAAUUUAAACUAAUUUUUGUAGUAGUUAAUACAUCAAUAGCUUUUAUAAUCUAUAUUAGAUUAUCCUUAAUAAUGGUAUACACUAGUAUUGUGUUAUAUCCACAUAUUAGUUAUGACAUAAAAAUAAUUUACUCUCUCUUAUAUAUAUAUAUGCCAAAGUGGCUACCGUGAAACAGUAGAUAUUGAAAUAUGUAUACAUAUGUUAAUUUAUCAUCAAAAAAAAAUUAAAUUCUUUUCAUCACUGAUAUUAACACUUUUAUUAUUUUAUAUGUUACCUCUUUGUAAAUUGACCAAAACAAAAGUCAAAAACGAUCUGCGUGGCGUCAAGAUGUCCCUAUCCCUCUAGUGACUUUACCAUGUAAGUACGUAGAGUUAAGAAAGACAUGUUUAAUCCAUUCAUUAUUAUUGCUCUUGCCCCUAUUAAUAUUAUUGUAAAGGCUUCUUGUAUCUGGGUCUACAAAUAAAUAUCGUUUAAGAAUUCUUCAACCAUAUGUUAACAACAAAUUUGAUAUAAGAAACUUAAUUAAACAAAACAAGGUAAAGUAGAUAAUAUAGGUAAUGCACAUAUAAUAAAAAGUCUCAUGCCAUGAUCAACAUUGUAGGAUAUUAAAGUAGAAAAUGACUGAUGAUGUUUGUCGUAGGAUUCCCAAGGAAAAGAGUCUGAGCCAGAAUUGCCGCAGGCUGAGUCACGGGUUUUACGGCAGACAUCUGGAGAGGACCAGUCAAGCUCUACUGACAGUCGAGAUGCAGAGCGCCCACGAGAGUAUGGCAAAGAACGUGAGCGCGACCGUGACCGUGAUCGCGAUGGAAAGCGAGACAAGCGCCGCGAAUCACCGCGGAAGGAUCGGGAACGCUCUGAAAGAGAUCGUCGCUCACCACGUAAAGAUGAUAAAUACAGAUCGUAGUCAAAGGCCUCGUGAUGCACCACGUUGAGGAUUACUUGGCGACAGACCAGACGAUAAACACUCGUCUACUGAUAGCAAGAUGCCAGCAUUAAUGGAUCUUAAACCAUUUGGAAGUGACGGGCUGACCAAGUUAAAAUCACAAGACGCUCGUGACGCUGUAUCUCCCAGGUUUGUUGAUCGUCGGGAACGUGAUCAUGACCGAGAGCGUGAUCGUGGACGCGACCGUGACUCUGAGUGUGACCGCGAACGAGAACGCGAUUAUGAUGGCAGACACAACAGACGUUCUGAAGAUAGACGGUCAUCUGGACGCGACAGAGGCAGCGAGAGGUCUCGAUCACGUGGUCACGCCUAUCCUCCCCCACACACGUCAAAUGAACGAAGAUCACCCUCAUCUGGUGACUACAGAACGUCUUCAUACAAAAUCAAUAAGAAGCUCGAGGUUAUGGAAAAAAUGGGUAAAUUAUUACACGCUUUAUAUUAGCUUCACCUGUAUGUAUG